UACGUAGGUGGCAAGCGUUGUCCGGAAUUAUUGGGCGUAAAGCGCGCGCAGGCGGUCCUUUAAGUCUGAUGUGAAAGCCCACGGCUCAACCGUGGAGGGUCAUUGGAAACUGGGGAACUUGAGUGCAGGAGAGAAGAGUGGAAUUCCACGUGUAGCGGUGAAAUGCGUAGAUAUCAUUUGGAACGCCAAUGGUGAAAACAGGUAGCUGGGGCUGUGCUGACGCUGAGACACGAAAGCCAGGGGAGCAAACGGG
This 253-nucleotide ribosomal RNA is filed under the name uncultured bacterium. Its description in RNAcentral is "partial 16S ribosomal RNA". It matches the Rfam family "Bacterial small subunit ribosomal RNA", at positions 524 to 776 of the family's 1533-position model. The record is from RNAcentral.